CCCUUAGAUGUUCUGGGCUGCACGCGUGUUACAAUCGGGAGUACAACAAGAUUGCAAAUCCUAGUGGAUGAGUGGUUCUUCGAAAUUUUCUGAAGACUGGGAUAGUUGAUUGAAAUUAUUCAACUCGAACGAGGAAUUCCUUGUAAUUGUAAUUCAUUAUAUUGUAAUGAAUACGUCCCUGCCCUUUGUACACACCGCCCGUCGCUCCUACCGAUUGAACGAUCCGGUGAAUUAUUUGGAGUAGCUCUGGAAGUUGCAGAACUUCCUAUGUCACGAAAUUUUGUAAACCUUAUCGUUUAGAGGAAGGAAAAGUCGGAACA
This 320-nucleotide ribosomal RNA is filed under the name uncultured eukaryote. Its description in RNAcentral is "partial 18S ribosomal RNA". It matches the Rfam family "Eukaryotic small subunit ribosomal RNA", at positions 1470 to 1796 of the family's 1831-position model. The record is from RNAcentral.